Piliocolobus tephrosceles (Ugandan red Colobus) is the source of this 2281-nucleotide long non-coding RNA. The record is from Ensembl. Lineage: Eukaryota; Metazoa; Chordata; Mammalia; Primates; Cercopithecidae.
AUGAUAUCUCCAAGUGAUGAACAUAAUGAAGAUGAUAGAAGGUCGUGUAUUAAAUAUUUUGUAACACUUUUGUUUUUAUUACUUAUAAUACUAAUGUUAAGGAAGGAGAAAGAAGAAGAGGAACUUAAUAGUCGUAAUAAAGUAAAUUUAAGACAAAAUGAAAAUAAUAGGACUCAUGCAUUUAAUUAUUUAAAAGAUAUUGAUUUGUUAAAAUAUGAUUCAGUUAUAUAUAUAUCACCAAAUAGGAAAAUUGUACCUAGUUUAACAUACAUAAGUGAAUAUAUUGUACAUGUGGAAGGAUAUGAUAAUAUACUACAUAAUUUUGAUAAUUUAUCAUUGACAAUUAAUGAAAUAAAUAAUAAUUUUUAUAUAUCGGCAGCUGCUAAUAAUAAUAAAAAUAAUAAUAAAAACUAUAUAUGUAAUAAUAAUGAAAACAGUUCGGACAAUUCUUGUGCAACUAUUAACACUAUUUUAGUAAGUAAAAAUCAAUAUAAGAAUGUGAACAUUUUAAGUUGUCAAAAAAAUAAUAUUUGUUUUUUUGUAUUCGUUCAAUUAAAAAAAAAUAAAUGUUAUAAUUUUAAUAAUUUAUCUCAUUCCUGUCAUUUAAAUAACACAUAUAAAAGCCCGAAUAUAUUUUUAAUAGAUAAUUAUUGUUAUAUAAUUAUAGCUAGUCCAAAGAUACAGAAAGUAUAUGAAUUUAUACAAACUGAAUUACUGGGUAGUAAUAAAACGUUUAAUGAAAAUACAAAAAGUGAAUAUGUAGAUAUAGUAACACAUUUUUGUGGUAAUGUAUUAAAUCAAAUUGCAAAUAUAGAUCCAGUUAAUGGUAAAUUACUAUUUAUGCAACAAUAUAUACAUAAAAAUUAUGAAAAUAAAAGUGAAAAUGAAAGUGAUGAUAAAGAGCAUAUUAUCCAAAAAAAUAAUGAACAAAAUGAACAAAAUGAAGAAUACAAUAAUGAUAAUUUUUAUGAUUAUGAUACAUAUAAUAAACAAAAAAAUAAAAAUAAAUCUUUAAAAUUUCAAAUAAAUUAUUAUUUAACAAUAAUUAAUUUAGCAUCAGAUAAUAAAGAUAUUAUAGAAUAUAUAGACUACAUGAAAAACAAACAAAAUUUUAACGUGUUCCCUCCUAUAUAUAUAGGUUAUCAUGAAGUCUCUAAUUUCUAUUAUAUUGUACAACAUGAAAAUAAUGGCUGUCUUACUUUUAUUUUUAUUUCGGCAUCGAAUUUUACAGUUUAUUACGUGUUAAAAAUAAGGGACUUUUAUUCGGGUUGGUUGUUAAACUCAAACUUUGAAUUUAACUAUAAAGGCUUAGUUCUUUUUGGUGAAUACCCACCCUAUGAAGAUGAGCUUCAUGUUUGGGAUAUAGUUAAUUUUCAGCACAAAAAAUAUAUGGUUAAUGUUAUUAAAUCUUAUUAAAAAACUGAGUUUUAAUUAUGUUUAAUUCAUACAUUGUAAAAAAAAGUGUUUGUAUUUUUUUCUGUCCAUAAGUUUACUACUUUUUAUAUGACCAUAUGUUUAUUGGUUCAUAUGUCUAUAUGUUUAUUGGUUUAUAUGUUUAUUCGAUUGUAUUAUAACUCGCUUGUAUGUUUUUAUUUUUAAGUAACAGUAUUUUUUUAUUUAUAAAAUAAUGUAUUUGUAAAUUAUGUAUCAUGUUUAAUUCCUUCCGUGUUGACACAACAUGCCUUUUUUUGUAUUUUUAUAAUAAUUUAUAUAUAAAAAUUCAAGCAUAAAAAAGAGUGAACAUUUGUAUUGUUGCACAUUAACGUUUGUUUUAUCAUCCAUGUCAUAGUUUUUUUUUUCGUUUUUGUUUAUUAAAGGUAAUGUACAUAUAGGUAUAUAUAUAUAUAUAUAUUAUGAUUAUUUUUUUUUUUUUUUAAACCAAAAAAGAUUAUUGAAACAACAUAUACAUAUAUGUAUAUAUAUAUACAUAUAUUUUUUUAUGUAGAACUAAAAGGCUUUAAUGCAUUAAAACAUGUUUUAAAACAUUGUUUAUUUGUUUAUAUUACCUAUUUAAUUAUUUUUUUAAUUGUUUUUUUGUUAUAUUUUGGUAUUACGUGGUAACAUUAUUACUUUAUGUAAUUAAAUCUUUUUUUGGUUUUCUCUUAUCACUUAAAUAUGUGAAAGCAAUACAUUAUUUUAUGUUAAUUAGUUCAAAAUAAGAAGUAGCAGUAAACUUUAACCCAUUGUUUAUUUUUUUUUAUGUAAACAUGCGCGUUUUUAUGUAUAUGUAUAUGUAUAUAUAUUUAAUAAAAAGAUAAAGCAAUUAUGUGUAUAUAUUAUA